Non-coding RNA from Trichonephila clavipes, 74 nucleotides. The record is from the annotation of a GenBank genome assembly. NCBI's taxonomy places the organism in Eukaryota, Metazoa, Arthropoda, Arachnida, Araneae, Nephilidae.
GCCCCAACUAGUAUGGUGGUUAUGACACUCGAAUUGUAAUUGAGUGGUUUCAGGUUCAAAUCCCGAGUAAGGCA